AACGAACGCUGGCGGCAUGCCUAACACAUGCAAGUCGAACGAGACCUUCGGGUCUAGUGGCGCACGGGUGCGUAACGCGUGGGAACCUGCCCUUAGGUUCGGAAUAACUCAGAGAAAUUUGAGCUAAUACCGGAUAAUGUCUUCGGACCAAAGAUUUAUCGCCUUUGGAUGGGCCCGCGUAGGAUUAGCUUGUUGGUGGGGUAAUGGCCUACCAAGGCGACGAUCCUUAGCUGGUCUGAGAGGAUGAUCAGCCACACUGGGACUGAGACACGGCCCAGACUCCUACGGGAGGCAGCAGUGGGGAAUAUUGGACAAUGGGCGAAAGCCUGAUCCAGCAAUGCCGCGUGAGUGAUGAAGGCCUUAGGGUUGUAAAGCUCUUUUACCAGGGAUGAUAAUGACAGUACCUGAAGAAUAAGCGCCGGCUAACUCCGUG
This 433-nucleotide ribosomal RNA is filed under the name uncultured bacterium. Its description in RNAcentral is "partial 16S ribosomal RNA". It matches the Rfam family "Bacterial small subunit ribosomal RNA", at positions 29 to 507 of the family's 1533-position model. The record is from RNAcentral.